UAUGUGACAUCCCCAAAAUCUCGGCCAGAAAAGACCGAUUUUCAUUUAUGCUUUUAAAUAUUUUCAGAGUAAAUCCUUUUGAUUUGAAAGAGUUGCGGAAUUUGUUCCCAAAAACAAAACAUGAUAAAACAUUGUUUACCGAAGCAUUUCAUAAAAGAAAUGUAUUUUCAUUAUGAUCAAAACUCGGGGUGUCAUGUUCCGAUACAGACCAAUAAGCAUAAACGAAUACAUUACAAGUCAUAUAACAAAUAUAAACAUAUGCAGACUUGUAAACAAAACAACUUGAUGGUUCAUCCAUCUCAUGCCCUUCCGCCACUACCUGUAAUACAAUUUAAAACUGAGUGGGUCAGGCUUGGGAGCCUGGUGAGCAUAUAGGGUUUUCAACCCACAAUAAAUAUCAUAUUUAAUUUUCACCAACCAACAAUAACCCAAUUACCCAUUCCCGUUAUUCUCACUUUAAUGUCCCUAAAACAACUAACAUAAGGGACCUAGUCUAAGAAUAUUUCAUCGGGGCGACAACACAUGCUUCGGGGGUACCUCAGCAAUAUAAGUCAAAUAAGGCAACCAUGAGGGGGAUGGAGUACAGCGAAUGAACACCCAAGUUCAUUAACACCUACAGGUGGCGAACCUGCUAAUGUUUCCACAAGACUGUCUAGAAUAGCCAGUGGUCGUCAUCUAAACUCCGCUAGAUGACUCAAUCAAACAACAACGAGGCCUCUCAUCUGUUUAUUACACACCAACUGUCUACCCAUGUUCUACCCAACAUAUUAGUAGAUAAAAAUAUACAUUUGUAUACAUAGUUUAAAGAAAACCUGUAUAGCAUGCUUUAAUCAACACAUAUAUCACAUAACAGAUGAGGCACACACACACAUAACACAUAUCUCAUAAAGAAAUAAGCAGAUCUAUAAGAUAGAAGAGAGUGAAUACUCAUUCACACAUAACACAACCAAAUAUAUACACAUAGCACGUAUUUUUAUAUAAAAUACUUCGUAUUAUUGUAUUAGAAGAAAUAACUACACACUCACUUGAUCAGAAGAUGAUCGGACAGCACUACGGCUUAUAGAAGUAGUAAUCCACAGCAGAUCUGGAAGAUCUUCUCGAAAAUCGAACUUCUCGCGGGCAGAGCUUCGACUCGGGAACCGCACUUUUCGGGAUCUUCGGGAUCUCGGGACUUGCCUCGGGGCUAGAGUAUGAUACCGGGACUUCGGGGUAGCUUCGGGGGUUUUUGCACAGAGCUUCGACACGAAAACGAGAGGGAAUUGGCAAAAAUACCCGGAACCCUCGCAUCCUAUUUAUAGGAGGCUGGAGCCUCGGAGUACGCGGGGCGUACUGCGUUACGCGGGGCGUACUGCCCAAAACGUCAUUGCUUACGUAUCCGAAGUGCUCGAGUGCGAGUGUCGACAUCCCUCGGAGUACGCGGGGCGUACUCGAGUACGCGGGGCGUACCUCGGAUCAGAUCGGUGACUCCUUCGGAUAAUGCUUCCGAAUUUUGAUUUAAAUAUAAAUACAAAAUGAUUAAUAAACUUCGGAAAUUCAUAACUUCUUCAUACGAACUCCGUUUUCGACGUUCUUUAUAUCCACGCGAAGGUGAGACCACGCUCUACGACUUUCGUUUAGACUCCGUCGGCUAAUUUUGACUUUAUUUUUAUUAAUUAUUUUUAAUAGGCCGGGACAGAAACUUUCGUUAUAAAUUCAUAACUUCUUCGUUUGACGUCCGUUCUCGCCUAACUUUUUAUCGUUUCAAUACCAACAAUGAGAUCUUCGAUUCUCAUUUAGAUUGCUUCGGCUAACAACCGCUCGAUCUCAAAUCGAGUAAAACAGGCUGUAUAUCGCUAAGCCGGAACUUCGAUAAAUCAUAACUUCCUCAUACGAAGUCAGAUUUGGGCGUUCUAUAUAUAUUCGGAAACCUCGUUUCAACUACUACAACAUUAACCAAAUAUAUUAAGUUUAUUUUACACUUAAAUUUUGACGCUUAUUUUUAUUCUUAAUUAAUCAAACCACAUAAUUAAGCAAUUAAGCACAAAACACACAAUACUCAAAUAAUACAAUCUUAUUAUUUCAAAACGGGUUACAGAGGUUAACCUAGACUAUUACAUUGCUACAAAUGGCAAGCCCGAAACACAGGCGUUACAAUUCUCUCCACCUUAGAAUGAUUCCGUCCCCGGAAUCACACAUCAACAAACAAAUGCGGAUAGCGACUCAACAUGUCACUCUCCGUCUCCCAGGUGAGAUUCGGCCCAUUCGUGUGUUUCCAUCGGACAAGCACUAACCCAACCAUUUUGCGUCGCAACUUCUUAGUCUUUCGGUCAACAAUUGCCUCUGGUUCUUCAAUCAACCUUUUGUUCUCAUCAAUUCUCAAUUCAGAAAUUGGAAUUAUAUCGGGAACUUCUCCCGUGAACUUCCUCAAAUAACACACAUGAAAGGUGUUGUGAAUUCCAUUCAGUUCUUCGGGUAAUUCGAGCUUGUAAGCUUGAUUCCCAAUCCUCUGAAGGACUCUAAACGGUCCAAUAAACCUUGGACUCAACUUUCCCCUUUUACCAAAUCUUAUAAGUCCCUUCCACGGCGAGACUUUAAGCAAAACCGAAUCUCCAACCUCAAAAGUCAUCGGUCUUCGCUUCUUGUCAGCAUAGCUCUUUUGACGAUCUUGAGCUGCUAACAUUCUUUCCCUAAUUAUUUUCAACUUUUCAGCAGUUUGAUGAACCAACUCCGGUCCCAUAAACUGCUUUUCCCCAGCCUCAAGCCAACAAGACGGCGUACGACACUUCUGUCCAUACAAAGCUUGAUAAGGUGCCAUCUUAAUGCUCGAGUGAAAACUAUUAUUAUAGGAAAAUUCUACCAACGGUAAAUGUUCAUCCCAAUUACCUAGGAAUUCCAAGGUACAUGCUCUCAGCAUAUCUUCAAGUGUUUGUAUUGUUCUUUCACUCUGACCAUCAGUCUGCGGAUGGUAAGCUGUGCUUAAACAUAACUUGGUACCCAUUUCCUCUUGUAGACUUUUCCAAAACCUUGAGGUGAAACGGCUAUCACGAUCCGAUACAAUCGUUAACGGAACACCGUGAAGCCUCACAAUUUCCUUCACGUAAGAAUUCGCAAGCUUUUCCAUAGACCAUUUCUCCCUGGCCGCUAUGAAAUGCGCACUCUUAGUGAAUCGAUCAACGACCACCCAAAUCAUGUCGUGACCAUUCUUUGUUCUGGGCAGUUUAGUGACAAAAUCCAUAGCAAUGUCUUCCCACUUACCCAUAGGCACAGGCAAAGGUUCUAAACUCCCGUACGGUUUCUGAUGUUGUGUCUUGACUCUCGCACAAGUCACACACUCGGCCACAUACUUUGCAACAUCAAGCUUCAUCGUCGGCCACCAGUAGUAGGGUUUCAGGUCCCUAUACAUUUUAGUGCUACCCGGAUGAAUCGAGUACAUGGUCUUGUGAGCUUCUUCCAUCAGAAGAUCUCUAAUUCCUCCUGACUUAGGUACCCAAAUACGAUCUUGGAAUACCUUCAGUCCAUGACCGUUAGUACCAAACACCAACGUUUUACCCAAACGUUCCUCCUUUCGGUCAUUUUUCUCAGAAGCUUCCUCUUGAGCUUUCUUUAUACUUUCCACAAUGGUCGAGACAACUUCAAUUCUCAACGCUCUUGGCCUCUUCCUUUCAAGAUUGACCUUCCGACUGAGAGCAUCAGCAACAACAUUAGCUUUACCGGGGUGGUAAAGUAUCUCGCAGUCGUAGUCUUUAAGUAAUUCUAGCCAGCGUCGUUGCCUCAUAUUCAAUUCUUUCUGAUUAAAGAGGUAUUGGAGACUCUUAUGAUCAGUGAAAAGUUUGCACUUCGUGCCAUAGAGGUAAUGCCUCCAUAUUUUCAGAGCGAAAACUACCGCUGCCAACUCCAAAUCAUGAGUCGGGUAAUUCUUUUCAUGCUCUUUCAGCUGUCGAGACGCAUAUGCUAUCACCUUUUCUCUUUGGGUCAAAACACAACCCAAUCCAACACCAGACGCAUCGCUAUAAACAGCGAAGUCUUCAACUCCAUCGGGUAGAGAAAGUAUCGGUGCCUCGCAUAGCUUCUUCUUUAACUUCUCGAAUGCUUCUUUAUGCUUCUCACUCCAAGCAUAAGUAGCUCCUUUGUGGGUCAAAGCUGUUAAUGGAGUAGCAAUCGAAGAAAAGCCUUGGAUAAACCUUCGGUAAUAUCCGGCUAAUCCUAAAAAGCUUCGAAUCUCCGUGGGACUUUUCGGUUGUUCCCACUUCGUCACAGCUUCGAUCUUCGCUGGAUCAACCAUUAUCCCUUCUUGGUUGACCACGUGACCCAAGAAUUGGACUUCACGAAUCCAAAAAUCACAUUUGGAGAACUUCGCAUAAAGCUUCUCCUUCUUCAAAACUUCUAACACUUCUCGCAAGUGUCUGCCAUGCUCCUCCUGGCUUUUCGAGUAGAUCAGAAUGUCGUCUAUGAACACUAUCACGGAUUUAUCAAGGAAAGGAUUACAAACCCUAUUCAUCAAAUCCAUGAACGCUGCUGGAGCAUUGGUUAGUCCAAACGACAUAACCAAGAACUCGUAGUGUCCAUAUCUAGUUCUGAAUGCAGUCUUCUCGAUAUCUUGCUCUCUUACUUUCAGCUGAUGAUAUCCUGACCUAAGAUCGAUCUUCGAGAAAUAGCUCGAACCUUGCAAUUGAUCAAACAGGUCAUCAAUCCUCGGCAACGGAUAUCUAUUCUUUAUUGUUGCCUUGUUCAGCUCUCUGUAAUCGAUGCACAUUCUCAUACUUCCAUCUUUCUUCUUUACAAAUAACACCGGAGCUCCCCAGGGCGAUGAACUAGGUCUAAUGAAACCUUUGUCCAAUAACUCCUGAAGUUGCAUCAUUAGCUCCUUCAUCUCCGUCGGUGCUAAUCGAUAAGGUGCUUUUGCUAUUGGCGUGGUUCCUGGUAACAAGUCUAUUCUGAACUCCACUUGUCUAUCAGGUGGUAAUCCAGGAAGAUCCUCGGGAAAUACUUCCGGAUAAUCACACACCACUGGAAUGCUCUGCAUCACCUUCUUUUCUUUCUUAGCAUCAAUCACGAAUGCUAAAUAUGAUGUACAUCCCUUGGUCAAACACUUUCUGGCUUUCAUUAGAGAAAUGAUUCCAGAAUUCACUCUGCGUUUGUCCCCAUACACCAUAAACGAAUCUUUUCCAGGCGGGUUUACUUUAACUAUCUUCUUCUUGCACAAAAUUUCGGCAUCAUUGGCGCUAAGCCAAUCCAUUCCCAAGACGAUGUCGAAACCAUUUAGUUCGAUAGGCAAUAAUUCCUCGAGAAACUUAUUCCCAUUAAGGUCGAUCAAGACGUUUUUCAUACGAUGGCUAACAGGUACAAACUUGCCACUAGCUACUUCGACUAAUAAAGCAUUAUUUAGUCUAUCAACAGGCAAAGCUAGCUUUCUACCAAACUCAUGCGAAAUAAAGGAGUAGUUGGCUCCAGAAUCAAACAAUAUAUGAGCAGGUAAUUCGUUUACGAGAAAGGUACCUGAAGCGACAUCAGCUUCAUCUUUCGCAGCCUCAAGUGUCAUCUGGAAGGCUCUCGCCUUCGGCUUUGGUGGAAUGUUGGGCCUAGCUGCCUCCUUCUUCUUCGGACAGUCUUUCAAAAUAUGCCCCUCUUCAUUACAACCAAAACACAUCCUUUUGUUGUUCGGACAUUCAUUGGCAAAAUGUCCAACCUUUCCACACUUGUAGCAGGUCACAUCCUCGCUACAUUUCCCAAAGUGCUUUUUCUUACACUUAUCACACCACUUUGCUUCGCCUCCUUUUCCUCCAAACUUUUUCGAAUCAGAUUUCGAAAAUUUGCUCUUCUUACUGGAACCAGAUGUUCCUUCAAACUUCCUUUUCUCACCAACCUCAACCUUGACGGUGGUUCUCCCCUUGAUCAUGUUCUCCACAGACUUGGCAGCCCAGAUAGCUGCCUCUAGAGUAAGUGCCUGACGUACCGGCACCUCGUACUCCCAUGGAAGUCCCUUCGCAUACCGAUCCACCUUUGUCAGCUCGUCUGGAACGAUACGCAAGGCAAACUCCAUCUUAUCGGUGAAGUUAUUGGUGUAUUCAUCAACUGACAUGCUACCCUUCGUCAAUGUCAAAAACUUAUUCUCCAACUCCAACAGAUUUUGAGCCGAGCAGAACUUGCGCUUGAACUGCACCAAGAACUCUGCCCAUGACAAUUGCAGUGGCUCAUUAGGGCUUAAGGUCUUCCCUAGAGUGUUCCACCAACGAACGGCUCCACCUCGGAAUUGUCGCACGGCAUAGAUAGUCUGCAACUUACCUCUGCAGCCACAUGUCAUAAAGGCUAACUCCAUUUCGGAGAUCCAAUCCAUAACCCCAAUCGGAUCCUCCUUUCCAUUGAAGGUCGAUGGUUUGCAAGUCAAAAAGUCCUUGUACUUGCAUCCCAUUCCAUCAUUCCUUCCUUCAUGGUUAUCUUGCCUAACUAUCGGUGGGUUGGCUGGACCAACAGACCCACUGAAGUUUCCACCUUCCGAGUGCCCUUCAUUUAAUUCAGGCUCUUCCACACGAAUCGACAGUUCUUCACGAUUUUGUUGAAGCAACCGUCUAGUUUCAUCCAUCUGACGAUCCAACAUCGUCUGAAUCAUCAAUUGCACACCAGCCAUGGUUAUUGGCUCAGGUGCUGCUGCUACGACAGGUAUUGGCUCAAUCACUGGUGGUUGAUUCCUGUUUUCGUCAGCAUUUCCAACUCCACUUCUUGUUCUCACCAUUUUGAUCUACACCCCGAAUAAGGUGAAAUUAGAUCCUCAAUCAUGAUAGAUAUUCAAAUCAUCCUUAUCACUCCGAAACGUUUACAUGCUAGUUCUAAUAUCGUAGACGUACGCUUAGAAUCCUACACACAUAAGGUUUCUAGAUCCGGUCGGCAACAGACCAUAGAUCCGAACAAAUAAUAUCAUAUAUGGCAACAUAUAACAUUUAGCACAUAAAGCAUUUUAGGCAACUUUCCUAAAAUAAACUAGUGCUCGUGUCUAAAACACAACAGACACACAUCUCAAAACUUCACUUAGCAUUCUAAGUUUAAGUCUAGAAAUCCUACAAAUUCCUAGUUCGCUUAAACUAAUGCUCUGAUACCAACUGUGACAUCCCCAAAAUCUCGGCCAGAAAAGACCGAUUUUCAUUUAUGCUUUUAAAUAUUUUCAGAGUAAAUCCUUUUGAUUUGAAAGAGUUGCGGAAUUUGUUCCCAAAAACAAAACAUGAUAAAACAUUGUUUACCGAAGCAUUUCAUAAAAGAAAUGUAUUUUCAUUAUAAUCAAAACUCGGGGUGUCAUGUUCCGAUACAGACCAAUAAGCAUAAACGAAUACAUUACAAGUCAUAUAACAAAUAUAAACAUAUGCAGACUUGUAAACAAAACAACUUGAUGGUUCAUCCAUCUCAUGCCCUUCCGCCACUACCUGUAAUACAAUUUAAAACUGAGUGGGUCAGGCUUGGGAGCCUGGUGAGCAUAUAGGGUUUUCAACCCACAAUAAAUAUCAUAUUUAAUUUUCACCAACCAACAAUAACCCAAUUACC
RNAcentral lists this long non-coding RNA (7509 nucleotides) under Lactuca sativa (garden lettuce). RNAcentral describes it as "long non-coding RNA (LSAT_LNC006374)". Lineage: Eukaryota; Viridiplantae; Streptophyta; Magnoliopsida; Asterales; Asteraceae. The record is from RNAcentral.